UCCUUCUGUAAACAUAAAAGAGAGAAUACAUUAUCAAAUUCAUCUAAAAGGUAUCCCUGAAAUUAUAACAGAACUGCAUUGAAGACCUUGUCCACAUCCAAGGAGAUCAUGUGAUGAACCUUUCAGAAAGGAAUCAAAUGAAUUGGUUGAGGACAGAUGCACAGAAGAUGUUUUUUUUUUUUUUGUUCAGUAUUUUCCCACUCAAAAAAAGAACUUCGCCAGGAGUCCUACAGCUUAUUUUCUCUAUAUGACCAAAUCACUUCACCUUAUACUGUUUAUGGUUAUCACUAUGGUCAAAGCACAUUAUUCAUCCUUUCUGCACAGUUUCUUUUUCUUUUAACAACACUUUUUAAAUAACUCUUUAGUGACCCUUUGAGAGCUGUAUGCAACGAAAUUUCACUUUAAUGUAUGCCAAUUAAUGUAUAUUUAAAGUGACAAUA
Pantherophis guttatus is the source of this 440-nucleotide non-coding RNA. Lineage: Eukaryota; Metazoa; Chordata; Lepidosauria; Squamata; Colubridae. The record is from RefSeq and is a predicted model, not a curated record.